Molecule: ribosomal RNA, 253 nt
Filed under: uncultured bacterium
Lineage: Bacteria
Also listed under: 1 other name
Description: partial 16S ribosomal RNA
Rfam family: Bacterial small subunit ribosomal RNA
Source: RNAcentral
UACGGAGGGUGCGAGCGUUGUCCGGAAUCACUGGGCGUAAAGGGCGCGUAGGUGGCCCAGGAAGUCGGCGGUGAAAGCCCGGCGCUCAACGCCGGGUCGGCCGUCGAUACUCUUGGGCUCGAGCUCACUAGAGGCAGAUGGAAUUCCGGGUGUAGCGGUGGAAUGCGUAGAGAUCCGGAAGAACACCGGUGGCGAAGGCGGUCUGCUGGGGUGAUGCUGACACUGAUGCGCGACAGCGUGGGGAGCAAACAGG